This 147-nucleotide small RNA is filed under the name Arabidopsis thaliana (thale cress). Its description in RNAcentral is "ATSL146170". Lineage: Eukaryota; Viridiplantae; Streptophyta; Magnoliopsida; Brassicales; Brassicaceae. The record is from RNAcentral.
UGAAAGGUAAAUACACGAAGUAAUAAAACCGUGCAAUUUAAUACACAAACAAGUAAUUGUUGUUAUUUUCAUACUCACGAUCUCACAACAAAAAUAAAAUUUCAAUUUUACCCUUACCAUCUCAAUUAACUAUUAAUUUUUAUAAUA